Molecule: long non-coding RNA, 462 nt
Filed under: Dromaius novaehollandiae (emu)
Lineage: Eukaryota; Metazoa; Chordata; Aves; Casuariiformes; Dromaiidae
Description: lncRNA (ENSDNVG00000011497.1)
Source: RNAcentral
GUGCUUCUGAAAAGGAGRAGCAAGGAAGGAAGAAAUGACUGAGAGGGAAAGGCAGUCUGCAUAAAAACCACUUAGCCUAGCAAGAGUUCAAGGGCUGCCGYCUUCUCCAAAGCACUAAUGGCUGCGGGUGAAGAGGUUUGAGCUCUGUGGCUGUCAGUGCAUAACUUCAGUGUGUCAGAUCCAGACCUGCCUCGAACCGCCGGCUGGCGGAAGUUGCCCAGUCCACAGCAAAACUGCUGCCUGAGCUGUCGCAGCACCGGGAUGCACUCGGCUUUCCUGGAGCUGCCACACGCCAUCCCGUCCCUCCUCCAGGAGCAGCGCUGUCGGUGCUGGCUGGGAGCAGACUCAUGCUACGCUUGCUGUGCAGCUGUGGCUACCUGAGAUGAGCCUGCUGACGAGGUGAUGGGAACAGGCAGCACAAGGAUGGUGAGUUCACUCUUGCCUCUGUAAUUCCCCAGCCUC